AUAUUGCGCAAUGGAGGGAACUCUGACGCAGCGACGCCGCGUGAGCGAUGAAGGUCUCCGGAUCGUAAAGCCCUGUCCUUGGGGAAGAAGGUCUUCGGACUUGACGGUUCCUAAGGAGGAAGCCCCGGCUAAAUACGUGCCAGCAGCCGCGGUAAUACGUAGGGGGCAAGCGUUGUCCGGGAUUAUUGGGCGUAAAGGGGGGGUAGGCGGCCUUUUAAGUCAGAUGUGAAAGCCCACGGCUUAACCGUGGGACUGCAUUUGAAACUGGAAGGCUUGAGUAUCGGAGAGGGUAGUGGAAUUCCCAGUGUAGCGGUGGAAUGCGUAGAUAUUGGGAGGAAAACCAGUGGCGAAGGCGACUACCUGGACGAAAACUGACGCUGAGGCACGAAAGCUAGGGGAGCAAAC
RNAcentral lists this ribosomal RNA (405 nucleotides) under uncultured bacterium. RNAcentral's name for it is "partial 16S ribosomal RNA". It matches the Rfam family "Bacterial small subunit ribosomal RNA", at positions 361 to 773 of the family's 1533-position model. The record is from RNAcentral.